RNAcentral lists this ribosomal RNA (302 nucleotides) under uncultured bacterium. Its description in RNAcentral is "partial 16S ribosomal RNA". It matches the Rfam family "Bacterial small subunit ribosomal RNA", at positions 508 to 809 of the family's 1533-position model. The record is from RNAcentral.
GCAGCAGCCGCGGUAAUACGGAGGGUGCAAGCGUUAAUCGGAAUUACUGGGCGUAAAGCGCACGCAGGCGGUCUGUCAAGUCAGAUGUGAAAUCCCCGGGCUUAACCUGGGAACUGCAUUUGAAACUGGCAGGCUAGAGUCUUGUAGAGGGGGGUAGAAUUCCAGGUGUAGCGGUGAAAUGCGUAGAGAUCUGGAGGAAUACCGGUGGCGAAGGCGGCCCCCUGGACAAAGACUGACGCUCAGGUGCGAAAGCGUGGGGAGCAAACAGGAUUAGAUACCCCGGUAGUCCCUGUCUCUUAUCC